This 944-nucleotide long non-coding RNA is filed under the name Nicotiana benthamiana. RNAcentral's name for it is "long non-coding RNA (NBEN_LNC002576)". Lineage: Eukaryota; Viridiplantae; Streptophyta; Magnoliopsida; Solanales; Solanaceae. The record is from RNAcentral.
UUCCUGGAGCCCACUUGAUCAUAGGUGGCUCAGUAUCUGUACUCAUCCAACUGGCUACCUAAGAGAUGCAGAUGGAAUCAUGGAAGAAUAAGAAUGGUCAAUACAUUCAAUUAAGCAAAGAGCUAUUGUAACUAAGAAGCUUCACCACUUCUGUAUGGAAGAAGCUGCUUGAAUUCUUUUCUUUUUCCAAUUCGAUCUUCAAGUGACGCAUUCUCCCUCACACUACUAGUACGACUCUCCGUUUACAUCAUUUCACAUCAUUUUCUAUAGCUAUCUAUCAAUUGUUAAUUAACAAGUCAUUCAAAUUACAAAUAUUUCAAAACGACAUUUGUCAUCCCAUGGACACACCAAAAUGUGGUAUGAUACGAAAAGAAGUGAACUCCCUAGAAACACUCACAGGGCAAGAGAAGCAAUUGAAAAUUGAAGGUGUGAGAAAAGGAAACAGUGGAUGACCGUUGACUUGUCCCUAAAACUAGCAAAAAGAAAAAGUUGGUCCGUAAACCAUUAUAUUUCCUUCUGAACAAACUCAUUUUAUUUUUACAAAUAAAGUUUCCUGCAAAGAGAAUACCAGCAUUAACCUUGCUAGUGAGUCUUCCCCAAAAAAUAAUUAAAUUAUAGUAGCUAGAUAUACACUUCUUAUCACGAGCAUAUACAAAGCGUUUGAUAAUAGCAGAUAUAUGGUUUUGUUGAUACCUCUUUUCCACUCCGGACACUCCAAGCAUACACAGUACCAUCACCUGAUCCUGCAAAGUAGUUCAAAGCAACAUGUUACCUUUCUCUUCUUACCUUCUCGUUCUUUUGGGAGGGGGGAUGGGAUAAACGAAUAAAUUUGCUGGAAAAAUGUAUUUCAUUUGGAUAUGCAUAUGAGGAUUAAGGAAAAAAAGAAAAUGAACCUAAUUGUCUAUAAGACAAAAGAAUCUGAUAUUCAUAUACCCUUCUGGAGU